Anopheles funestus (African malaria mosquito) is the source of this 6467-nucleotide long non-coding RNA. RefSeq lists it as uncharacterized. NCBI's taxonomy places the organism in Eukaryota, Metazoa, Arthropoda, Insecta, Diptera, Culicidae. The transcript is spliced from 5 exons. The record is from RefSeq and is a predicted model, not a curated record.
UUUGACCAAAAACACCAACUUUGGCUACAAACAUCCAUUUUCUACUAACUUUGACCAAAAACACCAACUUUGGCUACAAACAUCUUGUUUCUACCAACUUUGACCAAAAACACCAACUUUGGCUACAAACAUCUAGUUUCUACCAACUUUAACCAAAAACACCAACUUUGGCUACAAACAUCUAGUUUCUACUAACUUUGACCAAAAACACCAACUUUGGCUACAAACAUCCAUUUUCUACCAACUUUGACCAAAAACACCAACUUUGGCUACAAAUAUCCAUUUUCUACUAACUUUGACCAAAAACACCAACUUUGGCUACAAACAUCUUGUUUCUACCAACUUUGACCAAAAACACCAACUUUGGCUACAAACAUCUAGUUUCUACCAACUUUAACCAAAAACACCAACUUUGGCUACAAACAUCUAGUUUCUACCAACUUUGACCAAAAACACCAACUUUGGCUACAAACAUCCAUUUUCUACCAACUUUGACCAAAAACACCAACUUUGGCUACAAACAUCCAUUUUCUACUAACUUUGACCAAAAACACCAACUUUGGCUACAAACAUCCAUUUUCUACCAACUUUGACCAAAAACACCAACUUUGGCUACAAACAUCCAUUUUCUACUAACUUUGACCAAAAACACCAACUUUGGCUACAAACAUCUUGUUUCUACCAACUUUGACCAAAAACACCAACUUUGGCUACAAACAUCUAGUUUCUACCAACUUUAACCAAAAACACCAACUUUGGCUACAAACAUCUAGUUUCUACCAACUUUAACCAAAAACACCAACUUUGGCUACAAACAUCCAUUUUCUACCAACUUUGACCAAAAACACCAACUUUGGCUACAAACAUCCAUUUUCUACUAACUUUGACCAAAAACACCAACUUUGGCUACAAACAUCUAGUUUCUACCAACUUUAACCAAAAACACCAACUUUGGCUACAAACAUCUAGUUUCUACCAACUUUGACCAAAAACACCAACUUUGGCUACAAACAUCCAUUUUCUACUAACUUUGACCAAAAACACCAAUUUUGGCUACAAACAUCCAUUUUCUACCAACUUUAACCAAAAACACCAAUUUUGGCUACAAACAUCCAUUUUCUACCAACUUUGACCAAAAACACCAACUUUGGCUACAAACAUCCAUUUUCUACUAACUUUGACCAAAAACACCAACUUUGGCUACAAACAUCCAUUUUCUACCAACUUUGACCAAAAACACCAACUUUGGCUACAAACAUCCAUUUUCUACUAACUUUGACCAAAAACACCAACUUUGGCUACAAACAUCUAGUUUCUACCAACUUUAACCAAAAACACCAACUUUGGCUACAAACAUCUAGUUUCUACCAACUUUGACCAAAAACACCAACUUUGGCUACAAACAUCCAUUUUCUACUAACUUUGACCAAAAUCAUCAACUUUGGCUACAAACAUCCAUUUUCUACCAACUUUAACCAAAAUCAUCAACUUUGGCUACAAACAUCCAUUUUCUACCAACUUUGACCAAAAACACCAACUUUGGCUACAAACAUCCAUUUUCUACUAACUUUGACCAAAAACACCAACUUUGGCUACAAACAUCUUGUUUCUACCAACUUUGACCAAAAACACCAACUUUGGCUACAAACAUCUAGUUUCUACCAACUUUAACCAAAAACACCAACUUUGGCUACAAACAUCUAGUUUCUACUAACUUUGACCAAAAACACCAACUUUGGCUACAAACAUCCAUUUUCUACCAACUUUGACCAAAAACACCAACUUUGGCUACAAACAUCCAUUUUCUACUAACUUUGACCAAAAACACCAACUUUGGCUACAAACAUCCAUUUUCUACCAACUUUGACCAAAAACACCAACUUUGGCUACAAACAUCCAUUUUCUACUAACUUUGACCAAAAACACCAACUUUGGCUACAAACAUCUUGUUUCUACCAACUUUGACCAAAAACACCAACUUUGGCUACAAACAUCUAGUUUCUACCAACUUUAACCAAAAACACCAACUUUGGCUACAAACAUCUAGUUUCUACCAACUUUAACCAAAAACACCAACUUUGGCUACAAACAUCCAUUUUCUACCAACUUUGACCAAAAACACCAACUUUGGCUACAAAUAUCCAUUUUCUACUAACUUUGACCAAAAACACCAACUUUGGCUACAAACAUCUUGUUUCUACCAACUUUGACCAAAAACACCAACUUUGGCUACAAACAUCUAGUUUCUACCAACUUUAACCAAAAACACCAACUUUGGCUAUAAACAUCUAGUUUCUACCAACUUUGACCAAAAACACCAACUUUGGCUACAAACAUCCAUUUUCUACCAACUUUGACCAAAAACACCAACUUUGGCUACAAACAUCCAUUUUCUACUAACUUUGACCAAAAACACCAACUUUGGCUACAAACAUCCAUUUUCUACCAACUUUGACCAAAAACACCAACUUUGGCUACAAACAUCCAUUUUCUACUAACUUUGACCAAAAACACCAACUUUGGCUACAAACAUCUUGUUUCUACCAACUUUGACCAAAAACACCAACUUUGGCUACAAACAUCUAGUUUCUACCAACUUUGACCAAAAACACCAACUUUGGCUACAAACAUCUAGUUUCUACCAACUUUAACCAAAAACACCAAUUUUGGCUACAAACAUCCAUUUUCUACCAACUUUGACCAAAAACACCAACUUUGGCUACAAACAUCCAUUUUCUACUAACUUUGACCAAAAACACCAACUUUGGCUACAAACAUCUAGUUUCUACCAACUUUAACCAAAAACACCAACUUUGGCUACAAACAUCCAUUUUCUACCAACUUUGACCAAAAACACCAACUUUGGCUACAAACAUCCAUUUUCUACUAACUUUGACCAAAAACACCAACUUUGGCUACAAACAUCUAGUUUCUACUAACAUUGACCAAAACCAUCAACUUUGGUCACAAACAUCUAGUUUCUACUAACUUUGACCAAAACCAUCAGCUACAUCCGCGUAUGUAGAAUGUGUGCGAGAAUGUGUGCGAUGCUAUUGGCCGCAAACAAUGUUCCUCUCUGUUUGCCACAACAUUUUUUACUAUUUCCAAUGUUUUUACCUGCAUUGAAACAGGUGGUUGAAAAUGUUAUGCACAGGUAUUUUUAUAUCCGAAAAAUAAUCUGUUCAGUGCCCUUCUUCAAAAGAACGAAUUGAUGGACAAAUUGAAAUACAUCUGAGCACAUCGACGUAAAACAACUUAUUAUAGCUAAUGAACAGAUCUAUCCAAAUCUCUGUUACAAUUGAAGAUCCAUUGGAAACUGACCGAGUUAUGGCAGGUGACAGAAAAAGCUUAGGUCGCGAAUAACUUUUUUGUCCGACAUCGGAGCACAUGGUCGUGGAAGACUUUUAGCUUGCAUUCAUUGAGAUCUAUCCAAAUCACAAAGAAAAUCCAAAAUCGGUUGAUAAAUGACUGAGAUAUGGGCAAAAAAAAAGAAGUUGAAAUGCGAACCGCGAGAAAUCAGCCUGAAGGUAGGCAAUUCGUAUAAGCCAUUCAAUGAAUUAGAAGUUACUUUUUCGAAUAACAUUUGACACGGACAACUUAGCACAUCGGCGUAGAAUAACUUUUGGUAGCUUAUGAGAAGAUCUAUCCAUAUCUGUGUUACAAUUGAAGAUCCAUUGGAAACUGACCGAGUUAUGGCAGGUGACAGAAAAAGCUUAGGUCGCGAAUAACUUUUUUGUCCGACAUCGGAGCACAUGGUCGUGUAAGACUUUUAGCUUGCAUUCAUUGAGAUCUAUCCAAAUCACAAAGAAAAUCCAAAAUCGGUUGAUAAAUGACUGAGAUAUGGGCAAAAAAGAGAAGUUGAAAUGCGAACCGCGAGAAAUCAGCCUGAAGGUAGGCAAUUCGUAUAAGCCAUUCAAUGAAUUAGAAGUUACUUUUUCGAAUAACAUUUGACACGGACAACUUAGCACAUCGGCGUAGAAUAACUUUUGGUAGCUUAUGAGAAGAUCUAUCCAUAUCUGUGUUACAAUUGAAGAUCCAUUGGAAACUGACCGAGUUAUGGCAGGUGACAGAAAAAGCUUAGGUCGCGAAUAACUUUUUUGUCCGACAUCGGAGCACAUGGUCGUGGAAGACUUUUAGCUUGCAUUCAUUGAGAUCUAUCCAAAUCACAAAGAAAAUCCAAAAUCGGUUGGUAAAUGACUGAGAUAUGGGCAAAAAAAAGAAGUUGAAAUGCGAACCGCGAGAAAUCAGCCUGAAGGUAGGCAAUUCGUAUAAGCCAUUCAAUGAAUUAGAAGUUACUUUUUCGAAUAACAUUUGACACGGACAACUUAGCACAUCGGCGUAGAAUAACUUUUGGUAGCUUAUGAGAAGAUCUAUCCAUAUCUGUGUUACAAUUGAAGAUCCAUUGGAAACUGACCGAGUUAUGGCAGGUGACAGAAAAAGCUUAGGUCGCGAAUAACUUUUUUGUCCGACAUCGGAGCACAUGGUCGUGUAAGACUUUUAGCUUGCAUUCAUUGAGAUCUAUCCAAAUCACAAAGAAAAUCCAAAAUCGGUUGAUAAAUGACUGAGAUAUGGGCAAAAAAGAGAAGUUGAAAUGCGAACCGCGAGAAAUCAGCCUGAAGGUAGGCAAUUCGUAUAAGCCAUUCAAUGAAUUAGAAGUUACUUUUUCGAAUAACAUUUGACACGGACAACUUAGCACAUCGGCGUAGAAUAACUUUUGGUAGCUUAUGAGAAGAUCUAUCCAUAUCUGUGUUACAAUUGAAGAUCCAUUGGAAACUGACCGAGUUAUGGCAGGUGACAGAAAAAGCUUAGGUCGCGAAUAACUUUUUUGUCCGACAUCGGAGCACAUGGUCGUGUAAGACUUUUAGCUUGCAUUCAUUGAGAUCUAUCCAAAUCACAAAGAAAAUCCGAAAUCGGUUGAUAAAUGACUGAGAUAUGGGCAAAAAAGAGAAGUUGAAAUGCGAACCGCGAGAAAUCAGCCUGAAGGUAGGCAAUUCGUAUAAGCCAUUCAAUGAAUUAGAAGUUACUUUUUCGAAUAACAUUUGACACGGACAACUUAGCACAUCGGCGUAGAAUAACUUUUGGUAGCUUAUGAGAAGAUCUAUCCAUAUCUGUGUUACAAUUGAAGAUCCAUUGGAAACUGACCGAGUUACGGCAGGUGACAGAAAAAGCUUAGGUCGCGAAUAACUUUUUUGUCCGACAUCGGAGCACAUGGCCGUGUACACUUUUAGCUUGCAUUCAUUGAGAUCUAUCCAAAUCACAAAAAAAAAUCCAAAAUCGGUUGAUAAAUGACUGAGAUAUGGGCAAAAAAGAGAAGUUGAAAUGCGAACCGCGAGAAAACAGCCUGAAGGUAGGCAAUUCGUAUAAGCCAUUCAAUGAAUUAGAAGUUACUUUUUCGAAUAACAUUUGACACGGACAACUUAGCACAUCGGCGUAGAAUAACUUUUGGUAGCUUAUGAGAAGAUCUAUCCAUAUCUGUGUUACAAUUGAAGAUCCAUUGGAAACUGACCGAGUUAUGGCAGGUGACAGAAAAAGCUUAGGUCGCGAAUAACUUUUUUGUCCGACAUCGGAGCACAUGGUCGUGUAAGACUUUUAGCUUGCAUUCAUUGAGAUCUAUCCAAAUCACAAAGAAAAUCCGAAAUCGGUUGAUAAAUGACUGAGAUAUGGGCAAAAAAGAGAAGUUGAAAUGCGAACCGCGAGAAAUCAGCCUGAAGGUAGGCAAUUCGUAUAAGCCAUUCAAUGAAUUAGAAGUUACUUUUUCGAAUAACAUUUGACACGGACAACUUAGCACAUCGGCGUAGAAUAACUUUUGGUAGCUUAUGAGAAGAUCUAUCCAUAUCUGUGUUACAAUUGAAGAUCCAUUGGAAACUGACCGAGUUACGGCAGGUGUCAGAAAAAGCUUAGGUCGCGAAUAACUUUUUUGUCCGACAUCGGAGCACAUGGCCGUGUACACUUUUAGCUUGCAUUCAUUGAGAUCUAUCCAAAUCACAAAAAAAAAUCCAAAAUCGGUUGAUAAAUGACUGAGAUAUGGGCAAAAAAGAGAAGUUGAAAUGCGAACCGCGAGAAAACAGCCUGAAGGUAGCCAAUUCGUAUAAGCCAUUCAAUGAAUUAGAAGUUACUUUUUCGAAUAACUUUUUCCACAGACAUCUGAGCACAUCGACGUUGAACAACUUAUGGUAGCUAAUGAGCAGAUCUAUCCAAAUCUGUGUUACAAUUGAAGAUCCAUUGGAAACUGACCGAGUUAUAAGCAUCCAAAGUGGCAAAAUGAGAAAUUUUUGUUUGAAAAACCAAGAAAAUUUUAAGUCUUUGUAUCUCGAAUAACAUUUGACACAGACAACUUAGCACAUCGGCGUAGAAUAACUUUUGGUAGCUUAUGAAAAGAUCUAUCCAUAUCUGUGUUACAAUUGAAGAUCCAUUGGAAACUGACCGAGUUAUAAGCAUCCAAAGUGGCAAAAUGAGAAAUUUUUUUU